GAUGAACGCUAGCGGCAGGCCUAAUACAUGCAAGUCGAACGAGAUUGAGGAGCUUGCUCCUCAUGACAGUGGCGCACGGGUGCGUAACGCGUAUGCAACCUAACUUAAUCAGGGGGAUAGCCUCUCGAAAGAGAGAUUAACACCGCAUAAAAUCACAGCACGGCAUCGUGUAAUGAUCAAAUAUUUAUAGGAAUAAGAUGGGCAUGCGUGACAUUAGUUAGUUGGUGAGGUAACGGCUCACCAAGACGACGAUGUCUAGGGGAUCUGAGAGGGUGACCCCCAACACUUGUACUGAGACACGGACCAGACUCCUACGGGAGGCAGCAGUAAGGAAUAUUGGUCAAUGGAGGCAACUCUGAACCAGCCAUGCCGCGUGCAGGAAGACGGCCCUAUGGGUUGUAAACUGCUUUUAUUCGGGAAUAAACCCCUUUACGUGUAAAGGGUUGAAUGUACUGAAGGAAUAAGGAUCGGCUAACUCCGUGCCAGCAGCCGCCGUAA
Molecule: ribosomal RNA, 498 nt
Filed under: uncultured bacterium
Lineage: Bacteria
Description: partial 16S ribosomal RNA
Rfam family: Bacterial small subunit ribosomal RNA
Source: RNAcentral